RNAcentral lists this long non-coding RNA (40114 nucleotides) under Arabidopsis thaliana (thale cress). RNAcentral describes it as "long non-coding RNA (ATHA_LNC000077)". The record is from RNAcentral. Lineage: Eukaryota; Viridiplantae; Streptophyta; Magnoliopsida; Brassicales; Brassicaceae.
GAAACAGCUACAAGACCAGCUACCAACGCCGAGCUCAUGGCAAGUGCCAAGGUUGUAGCUGAAGCUGCUCAAGCCGCAGCUCGUAACGAAUCAGACAAACUCGACAAGGGUAAAGUCGCCGGAGCCUCUGCUGAUAUCUUAGACGCUGCCGAGAAAUACGGUAAGUUCGAUGAAAAGAGUAGCACUGGUCAGUACCUCGACAAGGCUGAGAAGUAUCUCAACGACUACGAGUCGUCACACUCCACCGGUGCUGGUGGUCCUCCUCCUCCGACGAGUCAGGCUGAGCCAGCAAGUCAGCCUGAGCCGGCGGCUAAGAAAGACGAUGAAGAGUCUGGUGGUGGGCUUGGAGGUUAUGCCAAGAUGGCUCAAGGUUUCUUGAAGUGAUUUGAUCUUUAAUUGUUGUUCAUCAUUUUCGUAAUAAUAAAUUAAAUAACUAGUAUCGUUUGUGACUAGUUUAUGUUGCUUCGUUUAUGUUUAUGGGGAGUGACGAGUGAGUGUAAUAACUUCUGGUGAUCAUGAAUCUAAUCCAUCUUUGUUGUGAUUAUGCUUAACUUAUUGGUGUUUACAAAACCAAAUCAAAAAAUGAUCAUCCUUUGGAUUCGAACUCGUUAGAUUCUAUAUCAUUAGGUUUCUAUGUAAAACUAGUGUUUCAUUUCUUAAUUCACUCAUUUAAUAGUGAGGUUUCUGGUAUUGCAAGUAUGCAACUACACUACUUUAAAAAUGUGUCAAAAUACUUAAUCAUACAACAACAAGAAAUGGACUUACAGAAACAGAGAGAAUACAUAUAUAGAAAUUAGUUGCAAUUACAGGACAUUGGUGUAUACUAAUCAAGAAUCUGUCAUAAAACAAACGCUUAGAGUUAUGAACAAUCCUCUCAGUCCCACACAAAAUCUGAUUACACCGUUCAUGUCUAUAUUCAGGCACAAAACCACUCAGUUCCACAAGUGUCACUCUUAUAUCUCCCCAAAACACAGAAUGACAGAAUCUCUUUCAACCCUAAACACUGAGUUGUGGAACAUAAUAUCAGGGAAUCUUCUUCCAUAGAUAAGCCUGUCUUUAAGGACCAUUCACUUCAGGCACACCACUUGAACACAACCUAUCUUUAACCACAUGAAUGUCUCCAUCUGGUGAACCUCCUAACCAAUCCUCUUCUUCUUACUAGUGAGUGCUUCAAACUCUUUGAUAUUGUUCCCUCAUGUAGCUGCAUUGCCUGAAAAUGGCUCUGUUGCUCCAAUUUUCCCUUACCAAACAUCACCAAAGUUUCAAAGAUGAUGACGUGUCGUGACAUGAGAUGAUUUUAAGUGUUUUAGGCAAAAAUAAAUAUAAAAAGAGGUCAAAGGGGAUAAAAUAUCUUUCUUCAUGUAUUCACCAAGCUAAAAAAAAUAAAAUUAGUCGAUGAAAAAUCUCUAUCACAAACGGUUCUCUUAUAUUAUAUCUCUCUCUAUACGAAAAAGUUUUGAAAAGAAUCGUACUAGUACAGUAAUCAUCUCAUGGUCACAACAAACAUUCCCAAAGUUCAAUAUCAUUGUCACGUGAAAGGCGCGUGUGAUGAUGAACGUUGGUUACUUGUAGUUGCAGUUGUAGUUGAAGCUGAAGGACAUCGUUGUCUUCUAGGCCUUCUUGUCAUCUUACCCCAACCUGCAAAGCUUCUAUCUUCUAAACACAUUUCAGUUUCACCAUUGUUGCUUUGAUUGCUCACAUGUUGUUGAACUGAGGGAGGAGGAGGAGCUGGAGCUGGAACCGGACAAUAGACCGGUUCAGCAGGGAUUGUUAUGGCUCGUCGUGGUCUUCCUCUUGAACCGGUUUUCUUCCUUGUUAAACCGGUUGGAGUCCAAGAUCUUCCUGUUGCUCUCAUGAACCCAUCAAACAUUUGAAUGUCUUCUGUUACUUCGUGUUUCGAAAGAGACAGAAGUCCAGGGAGAAUGUCUCUUUGGAAGUCUCGUCUCUGUUUCCCUUUUCUCGCGUUUCCUCUUCUCGGUCUUUGGCUUGUGACCAGAGCGGUUCCUGUAGUUUCCUCCAAUUUGAGGUUUUCAGGAACCAAUGGCUUAGGCAUAUACUCUUGUUCUGAGAUAUCAGGUAGUUGCAGGGUCAUUGACUCAAAGUAAUCAAUAUCUUCGAUAGAACGCGAUUGAUUCCUUGAAAAAGUAUCGAGCUUUUUGUCCAGAUUCUCUUUGUGAGUAUUUACUGUUUCUGCAAACCAGUGAAGGAUGAUGGUUUCAGAAACUUCUGACGAAGCAACAACUUCAACCUCUCUAUCUAGGCAAGCUGAAUAGAUGGCAACUAUUGUUUCUGCUGCUAAUUUUUCAAACUCAGGCGGUUUCUCUAGAGUUUUUUCCUCAAUUGAUUUUACUUCUGAUCGCUUUUCUCCAGAGAUAUUACCAUCUUCUUCUUCAUCAUCAGACUCAGGAACAGUUUCCAAAUCUAUCAUAGGAGCCUUUGAAUUCAGUCUUGAACUGGCAGGAACAGAGCAAUUUUCGCCUUCAUCAUCACUGCCCAAAAUGUUCAAAUCAAUCUGACACCUAUUACUAGCUGAAACCCUUGUCUCAGUCUGUUCCUCUGUUUGCUGAUCUUCAUCCCAAAGAGGAUCACACGGUUCGUUCAUGUCUAGCAUCCUAACGUAAUGGACUUUACCUUUCUCUACAUUGGAUUGAUCUUUAUAAGCCAAUCCAGGAAUUUCCUUGUUAGCAUCGAUCUUCUCAGUCACCGGAUUAUUGGAACAAGAACCAGACUUUAACCUCUCUAGCCACAUAAUAUUCUGAACUUUGUCUCCUGCCUCAUCUCUGAUAUCCAAUGGUUUCAAAGAAGAACUUGGAACAGCAUCAUUACUCUUCAGACUCCAUUUCCCAUCAGCUAACUCAGAGUUACAAACAGACUUGGGUUUAUUAAGCCAUGGUAAAGUAGCCAGGUGUUCUUCAUCCUUUCUGACUUCAACAACAGAAGUGUUUGAAAGUGUCACAUUUAAGUUCAAAUCCCUCACAAACUUCCUCUCCGAGCUGUAAUCACUUCUUCCUCCGUUAGGAUAAUUAUAGCCAGUCCCAGCGACUUUCGAUUUUGAUGAAGUGGAACACUCAUUGUAAAACAUAUUGUGGUUUAACCGACUGGAAUUCCCGCACCCUGAGUCAAAUCUAGAAUUGCUUUCAAACUGCAAUCUAUCUCCAAGAUACCCUUGCUUCUGAGCAUUACCAAUCAGUGUAUCAGACAUGUUUAGAACCGGAUAUCUCUGAGCUGAAGCAACUUUCUGAGGGAAUCCAAAGCUAGGAUUUUGCCAAGAAGAGUGCAAAUGGUUCCAGGAGACAGCAGAAUCUGGACGAAUAUAUGGAUACAAGGGGCGCUGUUGGUGAGAAGUUAAACUUGAAUCCAAGUGAUUUUGAUGAAUGACGGCUUCAUGACUACUAUUGGUAUCAGUAUCAGCCUCUAGGUCAAUAAACGUUCUUUCUCUCCAGACGACUGCCUUACUUGGUGGACCUGAAUUAGGUAAACUCAUAACUCUUUGUGAACUGUUCAUCAAAACUUGCAUAGGCUGAGACAAAGAAUCCAGUGGUUUAGCCGGUUGAAAAAAUGGAGCAGCAGACUUGUGUGUGCCAUUAUAAUGAUCUGCAGAUGGUAGAUUUCAAAUGAUAACAUCCGAAAAAAAAGUAAGAAACAUGUGUGACCAUAUAAGAAAAUCCAAGAAUGGCAUUCACAAGUUAAUAGAUCAUCUUACCAGUUCUUAGGGGUUGGUGUGACCAAACUUUUGGUUUGCCGUUCAAAUCUGGCUGCAGAGGGAUAACAGGAAUAUGCUCCCUUACACUACCUGAGUUUAGAGAUUUUCCGUAGUCACGAAUAUGGCCUUGAAACUCCCCAUUACGCAAGUCACGGGAGUGGCCAUAAGCAAAUUCGUUUGCUUCUUGAGCAUCAACUGGUUCAUUUAAGUCAGCCAAACCAUUGCUUCUACUAGACCCAUAGCCAAUUCUCACACCAUCUAUGCGAGAUUCAGUCUUCACAUCUCCAUUAGGAAGCUGACUCGAUGUACUGCAGACCCUGUGAUCCUUUAACUCAACAACUUCUUCAUUGUCAUCAAUGUACUCAUCAGCUGGAAGGCAAAGAUCUAUCAUCUUUCUUCUGAUUUUCGUCGGUCUAACCUCGGACACUUCAACACUUUUGGAACUAGCUCCAUUUUGCCAUGAAACUGGACCUUGAGAAUUGCUUCCUUUCAUGGGAGAAUGGCCAUUAUCCUCAACAACCGACAUGGAUGGUCUAUCGUAAACCGAGUUCGCCAAAGGGAAGCUAGGGAUUUUCCAUUUACGAACAUCAUCAUUCGUAGCUUGAGAAGAAAGUGAUGCCUCAAUCUGAACCCAUUCUUUAUUAAACUGUUUCCUUUUCAAUUCAUCCAUCAUAUCCUUCUGUGUCCUAUAUACCCGGUGAAGUUCCAAAACCUGGUUAAAAGGAUCAAAAUUCACAAAAUACAAUCAACCAAAAGCCAGAGGAACUGAUAAAAAGGUCACAGAGAAAAUCUUCCACUAAGUUAACCUGUGUCUUAAAAACAGCUUCGUGUUCGAGCAUUGUCCUUCUCACCACAUCUUUGUCAAACCCAAAUGUAGUCUGAGACGUGAACCCAUUAUUGUAGCAUUGAUCGUUGUUUGAUGCAGAGGUUUUAUUGUCACCGUAGAACAAUGGCCAUCUACAACCGUUAUUAGAUUCUUUGUUGAGAUCUCCCAUAGAAUGAUGAUAUCCACCAAAUAAGCUUUCACAGUGCACCUUUGUUCCCAUUCCUGCGCACAAAUAUCCAAACUUUAGUACCAAAGACUAACUAACACAAAUCUGAUUCAAUGACAUUGAAAUUGGCAACAAAAAACAAGCAUUAAUCACAUUUCCUCCAUAAAAACAAGAACUUUAGCUCCAUGAGCUCUAUCUAGUUAAAACCCAUUUUGAGAGUAGCUUCAAAUUCAUCAAAAAGUCAAACACAAAGCAAUUGUAAAAGUGAUAACACUAUCUAUAUAUAAAGCUAAGGGUUUUGACUCAAAACAGAUGAGUUCUAACGCCGACGAGUCAAAAUAGGAUCUUGAGUAAUCAAAGUUGGAAAUCUAAAGUUAGAUAACAAAGAAUCUGCAAAAAUCUUAGGACAAGAUUGUACCAAAUAGAAAUUAACAAAAAAAAACCAAGCUUUAAUCUAGGGAAAAUUAAGCAGAUGAAAUUGAAAUUAAAACAGAGUUUAUAAAAAUGAGAUUUUUAUUUUUGUUACCUCAAACCCACAUCUUCUUAUCGCCAACCUUGUCUCAAAACUUUCUCAGAAGAAGAAGCAAUUUAUAAAAAAAAUCUAUGAAUCAAAAGGAAAAAAGUAAGAAUUUUUUUCGAAUCUCUCUACUAAAGGGAAGAUUGAGAAACAAAAAAAAUAAAAUAAAGUGUUGGGGGGAGGGUAUAAGAGUUAUAGCGUAAACACCAUUAAUGGAAAUAAUUAGAUCGUCAUCUUCGAUCUAGCUGGGCCACUCUUCUCUCUCACCAAACUAACAAAAAGAAAAAUUGAGGAGAGGAAAAAGAAAUCUGCUUUAUAUUUAGCUUCUUCUUCUUCUUCUUGUAUGUGAGGGGGACGAUGAUGAUAAAGAAGGUUUAUAUUAUAGGAGAAGAGAAGAGAAGAUCCGAAAAUCAGAAGAAGAGAGAAAAUAAAAACAAAAAACGAGGGCUUUGGCUUUUGUACAGUGACAUGAAAUAAUUUGUCAACAUCCGGUCUUCUCUUCCCUUUUAUUCUCUGCUUUUUCUUCACCUUUUUUAGUUCUCUCUUCUUCUUCUUUUUUUUUUACCAUCUUGUAAUAACUAAUACUAAUAUUCUUCCAUUUUUAUUAUUAAGUACAUAUUAUUAUAGGAUAAAAAACAGGAUUUAUCAAUUAGUUUGACUCAUAAAAUUCUUGGUUCUAUUUUUUAGGGAUUAAAUGAUUUUUCAAGAUAAAUUUUAUUUUAUGCUUAAUUUGUUAUAUUUAUUUAAAUAUUUUAUGUUACCUUUUUAGUUUUUAGUUUUCAUUCCAUUUGAAAUAAAAUAAUCUACUACAUUGAGCAGUAGAAGUAAAUAAUUGGUGAAAUGUGGAAAUGGGUAUCUUCUAGGUUCUCUUCAUCUUUCUUUCUUGCUUUUUAAUGCUUUUAAGAGAUUAUAUAAUUACUAUAUUUUUGGCAAAUCUAGAAGGGAUAAAAAAAAAAAAAACUAUGAUGAUGUGUCAUCUUUAAAUGAAAAAUAAUGAAGCAAUUUAAACCAAGAUCAUUUAAAUAAUUACAUUUUAGUGGUUAUCGACUUAUCGUAAUGUUGGUGAAUGGUGAUGCUACCAAUUAAAUAUCGAAACGUGUUAGUUUUUGUAAAUAAAUUAGAUAUUUUAAAAAGGAAAUUACAAAGUCUUUAAAAGAGUAUUUAUUAAAAAAGUUUAUUCUAGAUGGAGUGUUCUUGAGGGUUUUCAGAUUUUGAAAAGUAUACAAAUACCAUUUUUAUAUAAAAAGCAAUUAAUGAUAUGAGUCAAAUGUUGUUUACAACGAGUAAUACUCUGUACAUGGUAACAUCACUAUAUCACAUAUAAUAAUAACAAUAAAAUACGAAAAAACUGAAAAUCCAAAACGAACAUGUCGUCACUCGUCAAGGAUAAAUAUGGUAAAUCCUUGCCCCAUUAAUUACGCAUCCUUUUGUUUAACACAUUUUUUCGGUUAGGCUUAGGCCUCAUUUUUUUUUUUAUAAUUAGGUCUCAUUUAGUUCAAAUAUAUAAAUUUAAAUAAAGUUGUAACUAAAUAAACUAUUGACAGCAAACAAAACGUGGGUCCCGCCAAAAAAUCUUUUCUUUUUCUAUAGCUCUAUCUCGUUGGCUACUGUUAAUGUGGAAUAUUUUUGCGUUUUGAUACUGAGGAAUUAGAAGUUUAGAUUUCUAUUAAAUAUUGGAUUGGUGAUUAAAGUUGAUAGCUCGGAUAUUGAUCGGAUCCAUGAGGAAUAACAACUAUGAAGUUAUAAAAUUAUAAGAUCCUAUAAAAAAAUUUUAAAAAGAUCUAGUCAUUCUACUUCUGGUAAUUUGUACCACACUAAAUGCCCAAAAACCUUGUGAUUUUUUUCUACUUUAGACGUUUAAUAUUUAUGAAAGAUGAAUGUAAUUUAAUCCAAGGGUCCAACACACAUAUAUUAUAUAAAUAUUAAUGAGAAAUUUGGCCCUUAAAAGUGUAUAAUUACCACCUUUUUUCCAUCGACGUGACCAAAAGUCUUUGCAAAACUGACCUGUAAAUAUAUAUGCACGAAAAAAAAGUUUAAAUAAUUUCGGUAUUAGACAUAUAGAAAAAAGGUUUGGUAUUCGGUAAAAAAAAAAACUAACAUACGGUCUUCGGCUGUUGUGUGGCAUAGCAUCAUUAUGUUUUGUCUCUUAUGUCACAAACCCACAUGGUUAAUUCCGUAUUGGUAUAUUUUUUUUAGGUACCAUCGGAAAUUUUCUGACCAUGUCUCAUUUCUUACUGUUCAUUUCCAAAAGCAAUAGUAAAAUGCAAGAAAAAUAAAUCCAACUAUACUAUAUAUGUCGUAAAUCUACAUUCAUUAUCUGAUAUCGUGAUAUAAUGUCAGUACAACUCUUUUCCAACAGAGUUUUUACCUAUUUUAAAACGUUUAUUAAAAAAAUUGUACGAAAAUGAAUCUGAAUUAUACCAAUCAAUAAAGAAAAUAACUUCAUAGAAAUGUUCGUAUAUUUUUAUAAUAAAUUGAACGGUCUGUAUUAUUAUAUACAUGCAUGUAUCAAUAGUUAUAUUAUGCUUUUAUAGGGAUCAAGAUAAGUUGGGAUAAUAGACCUUAAAAGUGGUCCAAAGUAUACUUUCGGAAAUGUCACUCUCAUCAGAAAAAAAAAAAAAAAUCAUCGAGAUUUAUAAAACUGAGUAUUAGUCAAGGGUCCUAUCAUACUUCUUAUGGUAUGUCCCACCAAAUUGAUUUCAUUGCGAAUCAAAUAGCAAAAAUAAUAAUUCUAUUAAAUAUAUUUAUUUUAUUUUAUUUUAUUUUUUUUCUAUUUUUUUUUCUAUUAAAUAUACACAUGCAACUUAUGCAACUAUCAAUUUCCUUUAGUAUUCUACGAAACAAAAUUAUAUAUUUGUUGUCACAAAGUUUAAAAAUUCCAACGUAUUUUAAAUGAAAAUUAUGAUGGUAAAAAAAAUAGAAUUAUUACUCUCACAUUAGUCAUUUACGUAAAUUAUCAAUGAAAAAUAUCUAUCACUUAAUAUUAAAAAAAAUUGUUAUUGAAAUUGAAAAAGUAAACUAUUUGCCACUCGUCUCCCACUAGCUCUCCUCCAUUCUCCUUUUACCAACAAAAAAAAAACUGUUUUAAAAUACCCUCUCGUCUUUAACGUCCAUUUAUUAAAUCUAUAUACUAGUAGUAUUAUUUUAUUGAAUGCGAAUUAAAUAAUUUCUCAUGAGUUAUGCAUAAAGAUAGUCCCUUUCGAAAAGUUUACAUCAAUUUUUGAAAAGCAUCAAAAACGUAGACAAACCACACUGUCCACACAAAGGAAUGAAUUUAAACACUUGAUUAUCGUAUUAUAGCCUGAAAAAGUAGAUUCCAUGAAAAUCUAUAGCUAAUCGAGAUCUGUUUUAAUUCGUUUUUUAUUUUUUAAUACCGAGCAAUGAUAAUUAUAGACAAACAAAUUUAGAGAAAAUUAAACUCCGAAUUAAUCAGAAUGGGUUGUGCAUUUAUACAAAUCUUGACGAAAUUUAAAAUUCAAAUGUAAAUGAUUCCAUCUACAUAAGAAAAGAAAAAACUACAUACAAAUCAUCAAUCUUGGACUAAUUAUGUGUGUUUGAUCAAAUAAUAUCUCCAGUGACGGAUUAAAGAAACAAAAAAAUCAUUUAACCAAUCCAUAACGGUACAAUGGUCAAUAGCUUAAAUAAUUUUAUCAAAAAAAAUUACAACAAGAUUCAAAUUAUCUUGCUAGGAUAAUUAACCGUAGUUAGGUUAGAUGGUAUAUAUACAUACUAGAUUUUAACCCGCGGUAUACCGCGAAAACAAUUUAUUUUUUAAAGUUAAUAUACAUAAAAGUUUGCAAAUUAUAUCUAUUAUAAAAUAUUUUUAUUUGAUAGUUUACAAUUGUUAUUAAGUAACAUCCUGCCAAACCCGUCCCGCCAACCCGUCCCGUAAAAAAAACAUUUAUUUUAUUAAUGUUGAUCUUAUUUAUGAUAUGUUUAUGAAUUAUUGUCUAAAUAUUUUGUAAUUUUGUAGUAAUUAAAUGCUAUCAAAUAUCUCUGCGGUUUGAUGUUUAUAAUCGAAUUGUUAUAGUCAUGGAAAAAAGCAAUAUCAAAAAUGAUAAUUUUGAAGUAAUUAAAUGAUAGUAAAUAUUUUGGAAGUUUUAUUUUAGUAACUAAUGUGGAGAGAUUCAGGGAAGAUUGUUAAAUGUCAAAUAUUUAUUUCGAAGAUUUUUUUUUUAAUUAUCAAAAACAAACAUUAAAAUCUAGUGGCAGCCAUUGUAAAUAAGUCAUAACUACAAGAUUUAUUUCACAAAAUAGCUGCAAAAAUGUAUAUAUAGAUUAAGUGUCUUUCGUAUAUUCAAAAAUUAGGAGUUUCAGUUUAGAAACUCUCGGUUUACACUCAGAAAAUCAUUCAAACCUAUUCAAAUGUAGAUUGAAUUAUUGAAUAGGUAUGUAAUUGAUUAUUUAAUUAUUGACUGUUUCUCCAUAAAAAAAUACUAUAAAUACAACUAUGUAUUAUAACUCCCUUUUUCCCCUGGAAUAAGACUGAUGAUAAGCCCAUUGACAAAUACAGAUUUUGGGCCUAAAUCACCCCAAAAAAAAAGAAAAGAAACAACCUCUCCAUUGCCUUUGUAGCAAUCAAAUUUCCUAAUAAGGGCAUAAUUAUAAUGAUACACAAUUAGUCUACACAAACGAGUGAGACAUUGAUGGUGUAACUCGUGUUCUACGAAGUGUGACUAUUUACAUUUGUUCAGCUUGAAGCUUAUUUAAUCCCUUUUAUUUUUCUUGUCGUGAAAAUCUAAUCACAGUAUCACACUACGUUUUUUUGUUUGUCCCAGCAGUUAAUAAACACACACAAAAAAAGCUUCGAUAUUUGGGAAUUUUUGUAGUUACUAGACAUUUUUACAAAUUAUUACUUAAUAUGUUCAUAUUAUUAAUUUCGUUAUGGUUUCUUUAUUUAAUUAAAUCGUUCACCGGCUUGUGUACGAAUGAUACUUGAUGCUAUAACUUGGAAUCUGAAAGAGCCAAUCACCGAAUUUUGUCGACAGGGACGAGAGAAAAAGGGAGAAAAAGAUGCUCUUUUUCUCGAAGGGUAAUUUGGUAAAUUAAUAAAUGGCAGAUGAUGUAAUUAACGUGGAAGUUAGGUGGUUUUAUUUGUCUGAAAAAAUGUAAGUUCGAAACGGAAUCCUAGAUUCGUGGACACAGAUCGUUAUGGGGAUUAGAGAGAGAAACAAAUGUUUUCUUUUUGUCUCCAGAAAAUAAGAGAGCCAUGAGUUACUCUCAUAUCUUAUACCCUUUUUACCCUUCUAUCUAGUUGUAGAUUUUUUUUAAUCAUUUCUUUAAUUAUUAAUUGCGUUAAAUUAAUUAUUGUUGGAAUAGAAAUAUUAUUUUGCAAUUUGCACCAAAAAAAUAUUAUUGUGCAAUUUACACCAAAUUAGCAAAAUAAAAUAAAAUUAUAGACCAAACUAAAUAAAUUUUGGUGCUAAGGAAUACCAACUUAUGUAGGUUGUCCUUUGAAUAGCCUGACCUAUGGUUGCUGGUUGCCUGGAUCCUAUAUAUGCCUAGUAUGUAUGCAUGAAAGCGUGUACAUUGUAACAAAAAGAUACAUGUAUUUUAUUUAUUAGAAUUUGAGAAAAUAAAUUGCAAGUUUAGAUAAAUAAAAUUAACUAAAACGAAUUAUAAAAGCCUAAUUAACGAGCAAAUUAUUCAGUGUUUAUGAUAUAUGAUCCAAAAAUCAACAUGCAUAAAAUGUUUUUUAUUUACUAGAAAUUGUUGUAUGAUGUGAUUGGAAAAUGGACGUAUUAAUUGUUUUGUAGUAUCUACGGUUCUUUAUGAAACAUUUUGUUCCAAUACUUUUUUUUUUUUGGAAAAUUUUGUUCCAAUGGUAAGUGGACACCAUAUCCAGAGUUCAAAGUUCCUUUUCAACAAUCUCUCCUCUUUUUUUUAAUGUUCUUUCAAAAAAUUGUUUUAAGAAUUUUACAUGUUGUAAAAAAAAGAUAAUUAAAGAUACAAUCCAUAAUUUACUAGAAUACAAUUACAACACGUAGUUAUUUCAAUUAUCAUCGGAUAUCUAUCUACACAGCUCUAUUUCAUAGAUUUUCCAUAAAUAUCAUUUAAUACACGUAGUUACAUUUUUUGUUUGUCUUAUACACGCACUUUCUAGAAUCAAACAAAUGCUUUCAGAAAACUUUAGUGAUUAAUUGAUCGUAGCCAAAUUCAUCUAGCAAAUUAGUAAUUACAGUUAUAAUACCAUUAUUUUGAAUAGUCAUUAUUUGUUGAAAAUAUCUUUAAUAAAUUUUGUUAACUUGGAGUUUAUAAAUUAUAAUCAUAAACGUUGUUUCGAUUUUUGUUACAGUUUUCUAACAAUGUUAAAUUUUCCAGUAUGUGUGUGACCCUACAAAAAUGGGAAUCAACAAGAAUCAAAAGGGCCCAUCAAAGUCUCCACCACCAAUCACCUGUGACCGCUCUCACACUUAACGAUGAUCUUUGUUGGAUUAACGGCGCGUGUAAUCUUGAUCCCAUCACGUGAACUUUCACGCUCAUAGACCCCACUGUUCCAACCUCAGCACCAUCAGUCCUAUUCGUCAAGAAGAUUUAAGGCCAUACGUAACAAAAGCAAGCUGAGAGAAACACAUCCUGUCAAUAAUCCUUGAGCUGGACUCUAAAAUUAGGCCCAUGAAACUUAAUGACAGCCAAAAAUAUUGUUUGCAUUAUGAAUUAAUUAUGGAUUUGCCACUUUUUUUAUGGCAUUUGUAGACUUUGAAUUUUUUUGAAUAGUUUGUGGAUUUUGUUUUUUUUCCUGAUUACAAAAGUAUGAUUUAACAUGCAUUUUAUUUGUUAUGUUUGGGUUUAGUCGGUUGUGGUUGUGGUUGUUCUUACAAUUUAGUUUUUUGAAUAAAGUACAUAUUUUUACCAAAAACAAAAUCUUAAAUACGUACAUUUUGAAAUGUUAAAAAUGACAUAUUCAUAAAAUUUUAGUAAAAAUGAUGAUUUUAAAAGAUCUCGAUGAAAAAUGACAAAACCAACAUUAAUCGCUUACAUUAUUCGUAAAAUUUAUCAUGUUUUCAAAGACAUGAAAACAUUGAUCUCUAUAUGACCGGAGAAAACAUUGAUCUCUCAUAUCAGAUCACGUGAUCGAACGGUGGAGAAACGCUCUCUACAAUAAGGCUUUAAAGCCCAUAAAACCCUUAAAUAUAUCAAAGCCCAAAAGAAACGCCUUUUGCGCUUUCCCGAUCGUGGUCAACUUCCUCUGUUACCAAAAAAUCUGUACCGCAAAAUCCUCGUCGAAGCUCGCUGCUGCAACCAUGUCCGACGAGGAGCAUCACUUUGAGUCCAGUGACGCCGGAGCGUCCAAAACCUACCCUCAACAAGCUGGAACCAUCCGUAAGAAUGGUUACAUCGUCAUCAAAAAUCGUCCCUGCAAGGUUUCGUUCUCAAACAUUUCUCCACUCUCUUCCUCUGAUCUUAUUAGAUCUGUUCAUUACUUAGAUUCCUCAGAUUCUUUUUUUUGUCACCUCCACGAUGUUCGACUGAUAUUUGUUCUUGUCAUCAUUGUUAAAUUCACAUUUUAUUGCACUUUUGUUUUAGCGAAAUUAUUAAAUUGGUCAUCUUCAGUUUUGUUCGAUUAGAUAAGUUUUAGGAUUUUUUCUUACACAAGUUACUGGAUCAGCUGCUAAAUGUCAUUUUGUGUCGCAGGUUGUUGAGGUUUCAACCUCGAAGACUGGCAAGCAUGGUCAUGCUAAAUGUCAUUUUGUAGCUAUUGAUAUCUUCACCAGCAAGAAACUCGAAGAUAUUGUUCCUUCUUCCCACAAUUGUGAUGUAUGUGAAAAAAGCUCCUUUGAUCACUUUCAUUUCUUGUUUGUUUCUUUCAAGUCCCAUUUGAGAUUUUGUUUUUGUUGAAUUGGGUUUCAGGUUCCUCAUGUCAACCGUACUGAUUAUCAGCUGAUUGACAUUUCUGAAGAUGGAUAUGUAUGUGUUCUUAAAUAGCACUUGUUCCUUUAUAUGGUUUAGUUACUUGUUCUGUUUUGUAAUCAUUUUGCAGGUCAGUUUGUUGACUGAUAACGGUAGUACCAAGGAUGACCUUAAGCUCCCUAAUGAUGACACUCUGCUCCAACAGGUUAAGUUUUGCAUGUUCAUCACAUUAAAUGUUGCUAGUUAAUUAAAAUCAACUCUAUGUCGAUUUCUGAAAAUGGAAGAAAAAGUGCAGAGUAAUGAGUGACCUGAUUGUGUUAAUGAAACAGAUCAAGAGUGGGUUUGAUGAUGGAAAAGAUCUAGUGGUGAGUGUGAUGUCAGCUAUGGGAGAGGAACAGAUCAAUGCUCUUAAGGACAUCGGUCCCAAGUGAGACUAACAAAGCCUCCCCUUUGUUAUGAGAUUCUUCUUCUUCUUCUGUAGGCUUCCAUUACUCAUCGGAGAUUAUCUUGUUUUUGGGUGACUCCUAUUUUGGAUAUUUAAACUUUUGUUAAUAAUGCCAUCUUCUUCAACCUUUUCCUUCUAGAUGGUUUUUAUACUUCUUCUAAUUGAUUGAUUCUUUAUGGUUGUCCAAGUGUCAAAGUGUUCCACCCAUAUGAUUCUAACCUUUUGAUGAGCGAAGUCUUUACUCGUGCGUUAUGUAGAGACGUAGAAGCAAUACCACAAAAGAGUAUAAUUAUAGAUAUAUGCUAACAAAACUCAAAAGUUAAGAUCAGUUUAGUAUUCAAAAUUGAACAGUAAAAGGUUAAAAAAAAUAUGUAUACUUAUGAAAAUAACUAAAUUCAUAGAUAAUCUUUUAAAAUUCAGAGUUUCUUUUUCUUAUAUCAAAUUCAAAAUGAAAACACAAACUAAAAUAAACAACGACACAUAUCAUAAGGUCUUUUAUAUUUUGUAUUAGAUCAAAACUAUUAUUGCAAUCACAUUUCUUGUGGUAAUAAAUGAAAGGAAUUCUACUCCUAAAGCCAACGUGUGUCCCACACAAAGUAAGAAGAAUGUUUAUAUUAUCUUUUGCUCUUGCAAAGUCAAAUGUAUCUUCAAAAAGUCAUGUUGCUAGUUUUCUUUUAUUCCCCUCACGUCAUCACGGUUCCUCCUCCUAUUACAAAUAUACACACCCAAAAAGUCCACUAACAUGAAAUGCUAAAGUUAAUUUUAGAAAUCCAUUGCUUUCACGUGAAAAAAAAAACUAUUACAGAAAUAACAUGUAUUUAUACAGUUUACUAAUAGUCAUCAACUCAUCAUAUAUGGUAUAAAUAUUUGUCGAAAAACAGCUCUCAUGAUAUGUGUAGGCUUAUAUUCGACAGCCCAUUAAGACACAAAAUGGGCCUUUUAAAAGGAAUGUCAGUUGUCAAUAUCUGAUUCGUACAACGUGGAGUAGCUGUGGCCUUGUCCGGUUGUCUCUCUCUGCCUCUUCGCUCCAGGUUCACCGUACAAUAAUAACAAAGACCGACGCUUUUGUAAAAGUGAAACCUAAAUUGAUAACCAAAUAAUUUGAUCAAUUUGGUACAACUUUUGUUUUGACUGAUGUUCAGAUUUUCUUUUCUUCUUAAUUGGUAUAGUUUUAUUUUCUUUUUAAAAUGUUUGGAUUUGUAAUUCAUUUAGCAUUCCAUUCUAAUAAGAUUUAUCUUUUUCUUUUUAAUUAUCUCUUUACAUGAUACUACUAUACUAUUUGUUUAAACAAAAAAUAUAGAUAUACAUGCAUAUUCCAUAUUUAAUUAAUGGGAUCGAAAUUCAACAUUAAAUUAAUGUACCUGUAAAAAAUUAAAUGUACAAAACGACAGAAAAACUCAAAAAAGCAGAUUUUAAACGUUAUAUUUUCCAAUUUUCUACUGCCUCCUGAAAAAUUGGAUUUGGACAUGUCUGAACAUUACUCAAAAUAAAUAAAUUUAGCUAGUUUUUGAAAUAAGAAAACAUAGUAAGUACCGUUUUGAAGGAGAAAAAACAAAUAAAGUACUUUUUACACACGAAAAAAAAGAAAGUAAAGGAAAGAGCUUGUUUCACAUAUAUCUGCAGCGUGGACUUUCUCUACUGCGAACCCAAAAAGUUUUUUAAUCUUUUUAUGUUUCCAGAUCCGUUUUAAGACCAGAAGUACAAAAAAAAAAAAGAAACUCGAAAUCUCCAUUAAAAGAGCCUAUCGAUAAUAAAAAGAAAAACAAAACGGCAAAAAAGUGAAGCGAAACACGACACGGAUUCACACAAUACUCAGAUAUAUACAAAAAGGAUUUUAGAUUUUGAUUCAGAACCAAAAAUAAAAAAAGGAACUUUUUUAUUUCUUUGUUUGAUUUUUUGGGUUGUUGGUUUUUUUUUUGUUUGUUAAUUUUGGGGAUCGAUGUCGGAAAAGGAAGAAGCUCCGUCGACAUCGAAGUCCACCGGAGCUCCGUCGCGUCCGACUUUAUCUCUUCCUCCACGGCCGUUUAGUGAGAUGUUCUUUAACGGUGGCGUUGGAUUCAGUCCUGGUCCGAUGACUCUGGUCUCUAAUAUGUUCCCUGAUUCCGAUGAGUUUAGGUCUUUCUCUCAGCUUCUCGCUGGAGCCAUGUCUUCUCCAGCGACUGCAGCUGCUGCUGCUGCUGCUGCGACGGCUAGUGAUUACCAGAGACUUGGUGAAGGGACUAAUAGCUCUAGUGGUGAUGUUGACCCGAGAUUCAAGCAAAACAGACCAACCGGUUUGAUGAUUUCUCAAUCUCAAUCGCCGUCGAUGUUCACCGUACCGCCUGGUUUAAGUCCAGCUAUGUUGCUCGAUUCACCAAGCUUUUUGGGUCUUUUCUCUCCCGUUCAGGUUUUUAGAUUCAUCAACACAAAUUUCUAUCUUUUUUUUUUUUGGUUAAAAAUUUGAAAAUCUAUUUAUGGAAACUGUAUGUUUGUGUCUUUUCUUUGUUGAGCUGUUUCUUGUUUUUGUUUUGUUGGCUGCUUAGGGAAAAAAUAACACGUUGUUGUUAGGUGUUAGCAAAUCUAGGUUUAUUCCAACAAAUUGUAGAUUUUGUAACCAUUUUGCUGGUAUCAUCUUAGGUCAAAAUUGGAGAUUAGGAUUGAGUUAGGGCUUAUUAGAGAUUUGAGAAUUUCUCCUCAAGGAAGGAACUUUGCAACUCAACUGUGUUGGAAAGGUAGGAACUUUCAGACAGAACAAAAGGAGAUUGUGGAUCAAAUACUCGUAGAGAUUUGGGUUUGUUCAAGGUUUUUAUAGAAAUCCUCAGGAAGAUUUCUUGGUGCCACAUCCGAAAAAUCCUGUUCUUAUGACCUUAUAUGUUUUGAUUAUGGAACUCUGUUUUCUUUAGUAGAAAUUGUUCCUUUAGACAGGCCUUUGCUAUAUUCUCUUUUGAUAGGGUUGUCUUGUUUAAGGUCUCUGGCUCUGCUUUAUCUUGACUCUGAAUCUGUUGAAUCUGUCUUUACCUAUUUUGAUGUGUGCUUUGAUUUGUUUUAGCGGUUCUUGACCUGAUAUGUAACAUUGUGCAGGGAUCAUAUGGAAUGACACAUCAGCAAGCUCUAGCUCAAGUCACUGCUCAAGCAGUUCAAGCCAAUGCCAAUAUGCAACCACAAACAGAGUACCCUCCUCCCUCUCAAGUUCAAUCAUUUUCAUCGGGUCAAGCGCAGAUCCCGACCUCGGCUCCACUACCAGCUCAAAGAGAAACCUCAGAUGUAACCAUCAUAGAGCACAGGUCACAACAGCCUCUAAAUGUUGACAAACCAGCUGAUGAUGGCUAUAACUGGCGAAAAUAUGGGCAAAAGCAAGUUAAAGGUAGCGAGUUUCCACGAAGCUAUUACAAGUGUACUAAUCCAGGAUGUCCUGUCAAGAAGAAGGUUGAGAGAUCUCUUGAUGGACAAGUAACGGAGAUUAUCUACAAAGGUCAGCACAAUCAUGAACCUCCUCAAAACACUAAGCGAGGUAACAAAGAUAACACCGCGAAUAUAAAUGGGAGUUCGAUAAAUAACAAUCGCGGGAGUUCUGAAUUGGGGGCAUCACAGUUUCAAACUAAUAGCUCCAACAAGACUAAGAGAGAGCAACAUGAAGCAGUAAGUCAAGCUACGACAACAGAGCACUUGUCUGAGGCAAGUGACGGUGAAGAAGUUGGUAAUGGAGAAACUGAUGUGAGAGAGAAAGAUGAGAAUGAGCCUGAUCCCAAGAGAAGGUAAAGUUAUAAGCUCUGUUGAUGGUUGAUGAUAAUCCAUAUUUUUCGUUUUUUUUGAUCAGAGAGAUGUUUGAAUGUGCAGAAGUACAGAAGUUCGGAUUUCAGAACCAGCUCCUGCUGCUUCACAUAGAACUGUGACAGAGCCUAGAAUUAUUGUCCAAACGACGAGUGAAGUUGAUCUUCUAGAUGAUGGAUAUAGGUGGCGUAAAUAUGGACAGAAAGUUGUCAAAGGGAAUCCUUAUCCGAGGUAAAACACGUUACAACAUUGGUUGGUCUAGCUAUUACACUCUUUGAAUGGCGGAUUCUAGUGAUCGAUAUAUUUUUAUGUAUUGAAACAUUCUUGUUUAAUGUUCUCUCUUGAUCCUUAGGAGCUACUACAAGUGCACAACACCAGGAUGUGGUGUGAGGAAACAUGUAGAGAGAGCAGCAACAGAUCCAAAAGCUGUAGUAACAACAUAUGAAGGAAAACAUAACCAUGACCUUCCCGCUGCUAAAUCAAGCAGCCAUGCCGCUGCAGCGGCACAGUUAAGGCCAGAUAAUCGACCUGGCGGUUUGGCUAACUUAAAUCAACAGCAGCAGCAACAGCCCGUUGCGCGGCUAAGGCUUAAAGAAGAGCAAACAACUUGAGAGAAGAAAACUCUUGACCGUUUUUCAUUACAAAAGCUUUCAAAUUCCACUCACACACUUGUCUGAAAAAUCUAGCAGUUUGCAGGAAAGAAACAGCUUCAAGAGGUUGUAGUUCUUCUAUGUUCUGGUGUAAAACUUAAAAGCUUUUUAGGGUUUUCAGAUUUCUGUUUACUAAUACUGUAUGUGAAUUCUUUUGUACAUGAGGAAGAAAAUUACAGGGGGAUAUUUUGUGUUGUAUCUUUUGUGUUAUUGUUUCAGUAAAAGAUAGGUCUUACAUUUUGUGUAUGAAAAUGAAAGUAUUUGUUGUAAUAUCAAACUUUUUUCUUUUGUUUAUUAUUACACUAUUAUAAUACAUAAUGGCCUAUGACCCAAAUUUUCUUGCUAUUUGUUCAUCUUUCGUAGUCAGUCAUUGGUUAAUGAAAUAUACAGAGCAAUUGUUGUUUUGUUAUGGGUUUUGAAUAAUGGAGUGAAGAAAUUAUGACAUUUGUACAAAUGAAUCUUUUUCAUGAGAUUAAUAAAUUCCCGAGCAAAUCUUGUUUCCAAAAAAGACAAUUGAAUUUUAUCUUCUUCUUUUGUCUCUCAACAAUACAAAUAUGUGAAAACGUUCUCUGUUUUUGCUUUUUGUCUUUUUUUGCUCUCCCCAUUGAUUGAUUGAUUGAUCUUUGUCUCUCUCUCUGUGUUAUUAUGUAGUGAUCACUUCAUUGUUUGUUAGUUAAAAGCGUUGGAAUUUGUCCGUGAUUCACGAAAUCAAUCUUGUUCAGCCUGACACAACACAGUACUUGCUCUGGAAGUUCCUCUGGUGAUUGAGCCUGUGUCAGAAAGAAACAAAAUGUUUUACUUGAGCUACACUCUAACAAAGAAUGACCUACUACUACCAACCAAAAGUUUGGGAGAUUUUUCAAGUACCUGAAUUGUUAAUCCCAAAUCAAGAAUCCCGUUCUUGAUACGAUCCCUGAAAGAUUCGAGUCCUUUCCUCGAAAUGUAACUGAAUCUGUGUAUAUCCAAAUCUAUCUCAAAGUAGUUUGGUCCCUAUCCAAAUGAUCAAUAACAUUAACCACAAGGCUAUGGAACUGAAUUAUCUGGUGUAUCAUUGAAAACUAAAGAAAGAUCUGUAUUUCUAACCUGAAAGAAAUCGUGUUGCGGACGAGAAAGAACCGGUCUAUCGUUGUAAGCUGUGAUAAGUUUUCUCUCAGUAGAACUUAGCUGGAAAUCCUCAGGAUUUACCAAACCUGCCAUGAUCUUUAACCUCUCUCUGAAUGGAACUGUUGAUUCUCUUGUGAAUCCUUUUACUUUCUCCAUUUCAUCUUCCAUGAAUCUCUGCAAAAACCAUAUCUCUCUGUAAAGAAACAUAACAAGUUUUUUAUAAAAGAGCUAUAGGAUCUAUCAUCAUCAUACCUUGAUGGUUUCUUUAAAGUGAGAUGAGAUUUCUUUGUGAUAGUUCUCAUUGCGUUUGAAGUACAAUACUAAGCUAAGUCCUUCACCAUCAUAGUCACCAAACAUAGAGGUUGGAUACAUUGGAAGCUGGAUGUUCACUAUCAAAAGAUUGGGGAUAUCGCAGACUUGUGAUGAUGCCGGUUUCAAAUUAGGAAGCUCAAUGUGUUGAGCAAUGUGGUUGAUCUUUUUAGGACAUGCAAAAAGGUCGACUCCAAUUGGUAUGUAAGGACUACAAUUUGGUGCAGGACACUUUUGCUUGUCUCUGCAGAUGAUUUUAAACAAUACAAUUAGAUUUGAUUACAUACAAAGAAUGUUUGUCUUACUUUCUUGAUAUGAAAAUUUGAAUCCUAACCUGAAGAAAUUCAAUCCACGGAGCUUGAAACUCGACGGAGAAACUUCUGACCAACUUCCUUGACUGGUCAUCUUCUCUCCUAAAGAACGUUGAAUCAUAGAACCGGCUUUUGGACGGUACAAGAGCUUCUCAGCUGAAGCUGAUACACAUUUAGAGAUAAAAUCAUUCAGAAAGAAAGUUAUAAAGAUUCAAAACUUAUAAAGACUUUUUGAUCAUUUCUUUCUUCUUACAGAAUUCAGAUGGUGUUGAUUUGCUAUCAAUAGAUGUUCUUCUCACAGAAACCAUAACAACUUUUGAUGAUUUCUUUCUGUGAUCUUGAUGAUCUUCACAAGUAGUAGUCUUGAAGGUUUCAUGGUGAGAUUCAUCAGCCACUUGGUUUCUCUUUAUACUAACCUCAUUCUUGCUCGAGUAAGUCUCACCUUUGUUUCCAUCUAUUUUCAGGUAACUUUCGUAGAAUUCUUCAUACUGAAUCACUUGUCCCAUUGCAGAAGCAUUUGCAUCUACAAAAAAACAAGAUCAUGUUUUCAGACACAAUCAUGCACAAACCAAUGUCUCUAGUUUUAUAUCAAGCAAAAUUUGUUUACCUUCGAAGACACUACUAUUUGAACCAUCAUCAGAAUCAGAAUCGAUGUAGCUAAAGGAAUCAUACCAAGCCUCCUCAUGUGAAAUUCCUAAAACAGAGAAAAAAAUAAUAAUGAGAUUCAAGAAAACACAAUUUAGGAAGAAGAAAAAAACAGAAUCAAGAUAUAGAGAAUGUUGCUUACGGUUUCCAUCGAUUUGGCUGCAGUUCCAUUGAAGCUGAGUUAAAUGGAAGUUAGCAUUAGACAUCUCAGCUCUCUUACACAUCAUCUUGGCUGCACAAUUGUCGAAAUCAAGAUGAACAUAUUCGCUCACCGCAAAAUCCCUAACACUCGCAUUACUCAUGCGUUUCAUAGGAACAUCGGGCAUAGAAGCCGAUAUUUUGGACCGACAUUUGCCAGAUCUGCCGCGUUUCUGCUUCUUCUGUUGAAGCUUGUUACUGAGUUUUCUCUGAGAAGAAACACAGCCACCCAUAUUUUGUUUUGGAGAAUUUCUAACUAUUUCAUUCACCAAACGAAAUCAAAUUUUUGUAAGGAACCUGUAUCAAGACAUAAAACAAGAAUAAGACCAUUACCAAGAUAUACAUGAUCUUGUCUAGAAAUCAAAAAUCAGAUGCCAAAAAAGAUAGACUAUUUUUACCUUACAAUCUUUCAGAGAGGUCACCUGUAAAAAGUUAAGUUUACAUAAAAGAAUGCAUCAACAUUCAUAACAAUGAGAUGUUGUUUCAUGUAUCUUCAAGACCCUUCAUAUAAGAAAAAAAAUCGAAUGAGGUUUAUUUUCUUAAAUUUGUUGCUUACUUGGGUCUGAAAUUUUGAAUACUUAAAUAAACAAAUUAAACAUCGAUAACAUCAAACGCAACAAAUGCAGCCAUUUGAAUUUUUUAUGAAACGUGAAAGAUAAGAAACAAAAUCUUGAAAACACAACCAAGUAUUGUUUUUAACGAAAACUCUAAUCAUUUGUUAACCAUGAAAUCAAGAAAACUAACCAGGAGAAGAAGAAGAACAGAAGAAGGCGAAGAAAGGAGGAAGAAAGAGGAUUCUCUAUGAAAAUCCUCUGUUUCGUCUUUCUUCUGCUCUCUGCCUCUAUUUGUUUCUCUGUCUUUUCGUGUCAAUAACAAUAAUAAAACAGAAACAGAAAGAGAGAGAUCUUCUUAAGAGAAAUAUUAAGAACCGCACCACUGUUUUCUUUAGUAACCCGUUUUCUUCGGAUCAUUCCCAAAAGUCUUCUCCCCCGUUAAAUUCUCUCUCUUUAAUUUCUCUGUUUUUAAUUACUAAUAUUUUAUUUUGUCCAUUUUAAUGAUUAUUAUUAUUACAGAGAAACAGUAAAUUAGUGUUAUUGGGGAUGUGAUUGACCCAUCAAGUUCGCGGGGUAAAGAAGAAACAGCGUUUUAAUUACAGAACAGACGAGUUAUUUACUUCACGUGUCGCCAUUUAUGGGAAACAAUCUUCUUAUUUUCUUAACCUCUUUAAUACCUUGUCUUGUGUCUUCUUCGUCCUCAUCAAUGUUAAAUCCAUUCAUUUACAAAACAUGUUUACCCUAUCUUCCAACAUAAAACAAAAAAAAGGUAAAAAGAAAACAAUUUUUUCCUUCUAAAUUAGAGUUUUUAAUAUUCAAGUUCAAUAAAUUUAGUUAGAGUCUAUAAGUUAACAAUCAGCUAGACGUAACUCUUAACAAAAAAUAAUAGUUCCAUAUAGAAAGAAAUUGAUGAUAGAAAUUGACACUGAAUUGACAUUAAAGAAAUAAAAAAAAAGAGAUUCGUAUCUGAAGUUCUCGAGGAUCACAUGCUUCAUGUAUUCGUUAUCGUAUUCAUAAUUUAACCAUUGUAUUUCUAUAUUAGUAUCAUGAAUAUAAUUUAACCAUCAUCUCAACAAAAAUAAAAUUAGCCAAGUAAUGCAUGGUAUAUACAGUAUACUAUACACAAUAACUUUUUUUAUCAACGUAAAAAUUAUGGAGGGUUUCUGUGAAUGGACCUAGAUCAUAGUAGUGGGAUCCUUAGUUUCGCAUAGACAACAUUUGGUACCUCGUGGAUAACAAAUGGUGAUUUAUGUUCAAUACUAUCUUGUUAUAGUGAUGGAGAAGUUAUGUUAUUAUGUCGUUGUACAAUACAGUUUGUUAUUUAUUUUUAAUAUGUCAUCAUUCAUAAUAGAUUGAUUGUUUAUUUUUGCAUCAACUAAAGCCGUCUAAGAAUAAAAUAAUCUACUUAAAAAAAAUAUAGCUAAAAAGUGAAUAAAAGCUAUUAGUUAGUUCAAAGUCCUUUUCGUAGGAGAUUAAUUAGUCCACGGAGAUAUAUUCUAAUCAUUGAUUCUUUAGUUUUGUUCAAUAGUUUUCAGUAUUUUUUUUAUAUAAUCUUCUGGUUGAAGCUAUAGCUAUUGUAUGAAAGAGACUUAGCUGAUUCUCUAUGUGUUUGUGGAACACAAUUUAUUUUUAAAAACUAUAUAGUCCAACGAAAACUAUUUAAAGUAGGUGAGUUGCUCAUUUUAAAUUAUGUUUAGGACUGCCAAAAAUUUAGACUAAUUCCAUGCACUUUGAUUUCUAUGUUUUCAUCUUAUUUGCUAUUAGAGAUUUAUUACAUGUUACUUCUGAUUAAAUUAGAUGGUAACAAGCUUUUAUAUCUUAAAAUUCCAUUUGCACAUUUUCCAUUGCAUCCAUUUCUAAUUAUACAUAUAGUAUAUAUUCUUUUAGUGAAAAAUGACGUUAUCGGAUGGAAAAAGUCUCAACAAUUAAUGGGUUCUGUUUCUUUUUUCUUUUUUUUCAACUGUGUUAUUGACGGCUCAUAUUUUAUAGAAUGGAUUUUUACUUUCGGACAAAAAAGAAAUGAGGAUUUAUGGCCAUGAUUUUCUGGAUUUAUUCAACCAUUUCCAAGAAAAAGAGAGAUUAUUCAACUAAUAUACUGAUGAUAUUUCUAGAAUUAAUAAGAAGCUAGCUAAUUUUAAUAAUGCAAUAUGUAAAGAAUUUUAUGUAUCAAACGUUAAAUUCCGAAAAGACCUAUUCAACCAUUUCCGAGAAACAAAAACUAGUCAGCACAACAAAUUAGUCACACUACACAUGUCCUAAACAAUUUGUUCAUGUAAGAAUUUAAACUUUUUAAUGAAAAUAUUUAGUAUCAUGAAAGCAUGAAGAAAAAAAGAUUUUUGGGUAAGAAAAUAAUGAAGGCCGAAAAAUGAUCUUGUUCUUUUUUUUUCCCCCAAUUUUAUGGUAUUAUUUUGAUUUCCAGACGUUUACGAAUGUUUAAAUUUAAUCUCCUUUGAAGUUGAUUCUCCCGAGUCCCGAUUAUAAGAAGAAAACUUGUUAGAAGCGAGGCCACCAUUUCUCACCCAAACGAUACAAAAUUAGGUUAGGUAAGAUAACAUUUGAGUAGAUCUAGUUUUUCCAAGCAAACCAGGUCUAGUUUAAUAAUCGUAAUUUUGAAAUACUAAAAGAUCGGAUUAAAUUUGACAAAGUGUAUUGCUCCUUUUUAUAAAUAUAGUAUAUAACUACGAUAUGUUUUGUUAAGGUUGAUGAGACCCUGAUAAUAUGAGUAUAUGACUACAGUCUAGCUACAAGCCUACAAGUUUCUAUAUGAAAGAACUAGUACAAUAAUAACUGAUUAACUGUACUGUACGAUAUUCAAAAGAACUUAAUUGUUUUUAAUUAGAAGAGGAAGAUGAGAUUGGCGCACAAAAAAAAAAGAAAAAGAGGAAGAAGAUGAGAUAGUAAUUGGAAGCUUUAAAUCCCAAUUAAGAGAGGCUACAGCUGUAAUCAUUCGAAACGUAUUUACUUAUAUGAUGUCACCGUAAUAAAAUUUCUUGUAAUAAUAACUUUCUCAUUUAUCUAGUUGGAGUCACAAUGUCUACUUGAACCACUGGAAUAAACAAAAAAACUUCACUUGAAAAAGUAAUAAAUUUGAUGACAGCUCUUUAACUAUACCAAACGGAUUCAUACUAACUUCAACUUCUUUGAUCAAUUAUUCCAAACCCUAAAUUCUAGACCUAAAAUCAAACUAAAUUUGGUAACACAUCAAUUUAAUACUCUAUUAGAAGAAAACUAAACUAUAAAUAUCGAUUAUGUAUUUGAUCCUACUAUAUUAUUUGGGAAGUACAUUUUAAAUGUAACCUUAAUUUUUGUAAGUAAUUAUAUAGAUAUGCCAUUAGAAAUAAAAUUUUAAAGAGUAAAUUAAUUUAUCUCUUUAAGGAUUAAAAAGUCAAAUACUAAUUUAAUUAAAAAACAAAAUACAUUAUUAUUUUCCACAAAUAAUAACCAAUCAAAAUCAACAUAUAAGAUUUGAUAUCUAAAUUUUAAUUAAUUUAAUUUAAUUAAAAAACAAAAUACAUUAUUAAUUUCCAAAAAAGUAACCAAUUAAAAUCAACAAAUUAUAUUUGAUAUCUAAAUUAUCAUAUUAAUUUUUUAUUAAUUAUUAUAGUUCACUUCUCAUCUUUAUAUGAUUUUAUUUUUGCGGAAAAAUAAUAUCAUCAUUAUAAAAAAAGAAUUAGAGUUAUUUUGCAUAUGCCACAAUUUGAAUUUUUAAAAACGAAUAUAAACUGUUCAAUACAUGAAAAAAUAUUAUAACGGGUGAAAAAUAGAUUUAAGAAAACUUUCUACUGAGUAACGGGUCAUAAUUUGAAAUAUUUAUAUUCAAUUUCAUACAUAUUAUAUUGAAAAUUUAUAAUCUUAUAUAUUACAAUAAUUAAUAACAUAUUAGAUGUGAUUCAAUUUUUAAUAAAAGCUGGAAAAUCCUAGAAUUGACGGUUUAGAUCGAUAUUAAUACAAGAUGGAAUACUACAAGUGAAACUCUUAAAUUAACUAUCAAACUACAAGUGUAUAAUCUUAAACACUAAACAAUAUAGAUAAUAUCAACAAAACAUACACAUGAGAUCAAUUAAAUUUUAAUCACAUAAAAAUUAGCACAAAAAAAAGUAUUCAACAAUUAAAUUUUUAUCAAAUCUCUGUGUUAUAUAAGUUUUGAUACUAUAUUCGAAUAAUGUAAUAUACCUUUUCAAUUUGUAUUCUUUAACUAAUUUAAUCUAACUAAUAUAUUUGCUAAUCUUAUACCUAUCAAAACCGACUAUCGUUUCUUAUCUCUAUAGUAUUUUUGCAAGACUUUUUUGGUGGAUUUGGAUAAAAGUGUAUUCGGGUCAUAUGGUACAUUCUCCUAUUAAAUAAAUAUGGUGCACUCCGAUGUUAUUAGCUAAAAUGUUUAGAAUAUAAUUCAGAGUCAUAUCAUUAAUAAAAUUAAUAUUAAUAAAAUAAAUGACUUUUUGGCAAGACGAAUUUGGAGGGACGGGUUUUUGAAUCAACAUUAAUAAAAAAGUAAAAUAUAAUUAAUCCACCGUUUUAAUACGGGUUAAAUCUUUAAUUAAUUAUUUUUUAAGACCACUAAUAUUAAACAUAUCAAAUCAUCCUAAUUUAGAAAAGAUUAUAUAAAACCAAAAAUGUUAUGUGGUAUGUAUAAUAUUACUAUAUAUAAAAUUAAACAAUAAAAUAUAAAUGUAUUAGAGAAUGAUACAAUGUGCAAAACUUUUAUAUAUAAAAAAUAAUUCUUAAAUUUUAAAAAUUACUACUUUAAAAAAAAAAUCACGGGACGGGUAAAAAAUUUACAGAACGGGUUUUAUUUUGGAAUUGGGUUAUAUGGUGGAUGUAUUUGAAUCAAUAUUUAUAAAAUUUUAAAAUAUUAUUAAUAUGCUGUUUAAGUAGGGAUUAAAACUUCAGUUUUUUAACAAUUAUCUCAUGAAUUCGUGGUAUAGUGUUAUUUAAUAACAAUUAUAAACUGUAAAAUAAAAAUAUUUUAUAAAAAUAAAAUUUGCAAGUUUUAAUAUAUAUUACUUUUAAAAAAUAAAUCGUCCCGCAGUAUAUCACAUGUUAAAAUCUAGUUUAUAUAUCAUUUUGAUACUUUUUUAAAACAGAGACCGGUGCAGUUUAGUAGUUACGUGGAUACCAAAUAUAUCAUACAAGUUAAUAUAGAAAUUAAGAAUCAGAUACGACGUUCCAAACAAAUACUUAAACGUGUGUAGACCUUAGGAAACAUUGCCAACUGGCAACUUUGUAUUAUACUACCAAAAUCUAGAUAUCUAUAAAUCUAGAGGUGUGUAUGAUAAUGAAUAUUGAAUAGUAUAUGUUUGAUAUUCAAUGUUAUACUAUUCAGAUAUCAAAUACCUGGAUGUAUAUAUGUCAACUGAAAACAAAUAUAAUUCUCUUAGUAUGAAGACUAUUUACAUCUAAAUCAUAUGAAUAACUAAUUAACUUUUUCUUCUUUUUUUUGUUAAUUUUCAAAAACUAUGUCAUUUGUUAUGUAUUACAUAAUCACUUAAGAUAUAUAUAAAAAAAAAUGCCCUAACGAAUUUCGUCCACAACAUAUGAAUCGAGCUAGCUAUUUAGAUAUUUCUAUUAUGCAUAUGAUGAAUCAUAGAUUGAUAAACAUAUUAUAUAUUUUUUGAAAAAUGGUAGUUCAAUUUCUUUUGACACUAAUUAAACAUGAAAGAGACAUGUCCUUCGGGUGUAAGAAUACCUAAACAGACAAAGCAGAGAGUCAUAAAUAUCUUAUGAUUAUAAAUGGAAGAGACAUAUAAAAAAUGUUUAUUGUGUACUAAUCCCUUAUAUAGUUUAUGUUGGACAACUCCAUAUUAAUUUAGGUUUACUUAUAUUUCGGUUAUGAAACUCUAAAAAGUAUUGUCUCCCACUAUCCAUUAGGACAAACUGGCAAAGGCAACCACCUCAACAACAUCAAAGAACAAGAAUUAUUCAACUGUUCUACAAAACUAUACUAGUACUAUUACAGUUGUUUGUAGCAUAUACUUUUCCAAAUAGAAUUUUAUACGAUUUUCUUUUCCAUAUUUUUUGAAAAUGACAAGUGAUAUGAUUUGAGAAAAAACAAAAAAAAAAAACAAAUUUAUACAGUGAGGCCUGCAAGACCAUAAAACAAACUAAAGCCGUUCAUUAAGGUUCCAUUAAUUGGGCCUAUAUUUUUCUCGUUAUAUUAUGAGCCUGUUAUAGGCCCAUUAGUAAUAAUUUAUCGGGUUAUGAAGUAAAUUUUCAGAUAAUUAAGGGUCUCAAGUAUAAAUAUCUUAAAUAACAGACCCAUCUACCUGGAAAUAUGAGUAUUUGGGCAGAGAGGGGUGUUUUCGUAAAUUCAAGUACAUACUUUAUUUUUAUUUUUUUGCUUUCUUCGCCUUUUGCUCCCUCCUCGAGAAUUUCCGAUCGUGCUUUCCUCAAAAGCAUUUCUGUUUCUCGUCGUCGGAGCCCGACGACAGAUCUCUGAAUCGCUGGAGAAACAGUAAGUAAAUCUACAGAUCUCGUUUCUUCGAACUUCUUCUUCGUAUACUAUUUGUUUGUAUCGUUCCUUCGUUGUGCAUUGAUGUUCUUAAUGAUUACUAGAAUCUAAGUCAGAAGUUACCUCUAUUUGUUCUUCUUCUAUAUUUGAACUAGAUUUCGUUCUAGCGUCGAACAAACUCCUCGUUUUCUUUGAUUCGCAUUGCUGGUGAUUUUCCUGAAUUUCGAGAUUUAGCGAGACGUGUCUCGAGUUCUCUUGUGUUGACGGGAUUUUUCUUAUCUGGAGAACUGAUAAUAGUUUCAUGACACUGUCACUGGUCUGUUGAAUUGUAGUUUAAACUUAUUCCAUCGGAUAUAGUGACUCUUAACUCUAUAAGUUGCUGAUUUUGUAGAUGGGUUUAGUGUUAUCAGGUUUAUUGAUGUAACAACGAGUUUACAAACUUUGCUAUUUAGGGAUCUGUAGGAAUUCGUUUUUUUGGGGGCUCAAAUUGUUGGAAAUAGUUGCUUAGCUAUUCACAAUCUAAAUGUGAUUUGGGAAAUCUGCAACAUAUGUUAUUACUAUGGAAGAGGUUACUCUAUAUAGUUACUAAAUUAUCAGCAUGGUUUCUGACCAUUAUAGAAUUCUUUGCUUGUGGUUUAUUUGUUUGAAUCAAAGUGGUUUCAUUCAGAGACAGCGUUGUAGAUUUUGAUUAUCUCUGUAAUGUAUGAUGUGAAAAGUUACGCCACUUUCUAUCUUAUUAGCUCUUGAAAUGCAUCUAUUAUCUGUUUUAAAAUAAGAUUUUUUAAAUUUAAUUUGUUUUUUUUUGCCAGUAAUGAUUGAGUUUGGCCUCUAUCUGUGAAGGGUAUAUGCUCCGGCUGUAUCUACUUUAUAUUCUGCCAGGAAGAUUGUGAGCAUUGAAGUGCCUUGGGCUCUGGCUGAAGAUUUGAGCAGAUUAAAUGGGUCGCCUAAAGUUGCAUUCUGGAAUCAAGGCCAUUGAGGAAGAACCUGAGGACUUUGAGUGUACUGAUUCAAGUAAUACAACCACUUUAGCAUGCAUGAUUGAUACGGAAAUUGCUGCUGUUUUAGCGGUUAUGAGAAGAAAUGUAAGAUGGGGAGGUCGAUACAUGUCUGGUGAUGAUCAACUAGAACACUCGUUGAUUCAGUCACUUAAAGCUCUUAGAAAACAGGUGUUCUCAUGGAACCAGCCGUGGCAUACAAUUAGUCCCAUGUUGUAUCUUCAGCCCUUUCUUGAUGUGAUACGGUCAGAUGAAACUGGAGCACCAAUAACCAGCAUUGCUUUGUCAUCAGUUUACAAGAUCUUAAACCUGAAUGUAAUUGAUCAAAAUACUGCGAAUAUUGAAGACGCUAUGCACUUGGUAGUUGAUUCUGUGACAAGCUGUCGAUUUGAGGUGACAGAUCCUGCAUCAGAAGAGGUUGUGCUAAUGAAGAUACUUCAGGUUCUUCUAGCAUGUAUGAAAAAUAAAGCAUCAGUUAUGCUAAGCAAUCAGCAUGUAUGCACUGUCGUCAACACUUGUUUUCGUGUUGUCCACCAAGCAGGAAUGAAAGGUGAGUUAUUGCAACGAGUAGCUCGCCACACGAUGCAUGAAUUAGUGAGGUGUAUCUUCUCGCAUCUCCCAGAUGUUGAAAGAACAGAAACUACACUUGUCAACAGAGCUGGUAGCAUCAAACAAGAGGUAUGGUAUUGGGGUCCUUGUUAUUUCCUUUCUAGUUGGUUACAAGUCAGUUUGGUCCUGUAGGAUGUUCUGAGAUUAAAUAAAAACAUGAUACUACAGUAGCUAGGUUCCUUUACUUGCAACCUAGAAAAUUGAAAAAGCAGAGAAACUAUUUAAAUAGAAAUGAUAAAGAGCCAUAGAUUUGGCGAUUUGUUAAAUAUAGGUCUGCAACUUACUCUUGAACUUCAAAAUUAUGUAGACGCUUGUUUUCAUUCAGAUAGGAAAAUAUAUUUUUCCUAGUGCGAGUCAAAGAUCACUACUAGAGAAUUUAGACCAGAAACUCUGUAGAUAGUGAAUAAUUAAUUUCAUACGGAAUAAUUUUCCCAACAAAUGCUGGAUUUUAAGCCUUCUUCCCUUGAUUCAUAUAUCACUAAUUAUUGUACAAUAAUUAGUGAUGGUGUUUUGCAUGGUCGCAGAAAGCUGGAGUAGACAGUGAUUAUGCCAUUGUGAGUAAACCAGUCGAGGAUGGAAAUGCUAAUUCCGAGUAUGAUGUUGAAAAUUCUAUGGCAACUUUUGCAACUGGUGCUCAAAGUUUGAUGGAUGAUGGACCAGUUGGCCCUGGAAGCAGAAAGCCGGCUUCUCCAUAUGAUUUGCAUAUAAUGACAGAGCCAUACGGAGUCCCAAGUAUGGUGGAAAUUUUUCACUUCUUGUGCUCUUUGUUAAAUGUGGUCGAACAUGUUGGUAUGGGAUCCCGAUCAAACACCAUAGCAUUUGACGAAGAUGUGCCUCUGUUUGCGUUGAACUUGAUCAACUCAGCCAUUGAAUUGGGUGGAUCGUCCAUCCGCCAUCACCCAAGAUUGUUAAGCCUAAUUCAAGAUGAGUUAUUUCGUAACUUGAUGCAGUUCGGAUUGUCGAUGAGCCCCCUGAUUCUUUCGAUGGUUUGCAGCAUUGUGCUCAAUUUGUAUCAACAUCUACGAACUGAACUCAAGUUGCAGCUUGAGGCAUUCUUUUCAUGUGUGAUUCUAAGGCUUGCUCAAGGAAAAUAUGGGCCCUCGUAUCAGCAGCAAGAGGUUGCUAUGGAGGCUCUUGUGAAUUUUUGUAGGCAGAAGAGUUUUAUGGUUGAAAUGUAUGCCAAUCUCGAUUGUGAUAUAACUUGCAGCAACGUGUUUGAGGAGCUGUCUAAUCUUCUCUCGAAGAGCACAUUUCCUGUGAACUGUCCUUUGUCUGCAAUGCACAUUCUUGCUCUGGAUGGCCUAAUCGCUGUUAUUCAGGGAAUGGCCGAGAGGAUAAGUAAUGGAUUGACUGGUUUGGAUUUGGGUCCUGUCCAUCUUGAUGAGUACACGCCUUUCUGGAUGGUUAAGUGUGACAACUAUAGUGAUCCAAAUCACUGGGUUUCAUUUGUCCGCAGGAGAAAAUAUAUCAAGAGAAGGUUAAUGAUUGGAGCAGAUCAUUUUAACAGGGAUCCAAAGAAGGGGUUAGAGUUUCUCCAAGGCACACAUCUUUUGCCUGACAAACUCGAUCCCCAAAGUGUUGCUUGCUUUUUUAGAUAUACUGCUGGGCUUGAUAAGAACCUUGUUGGGGAUUUUCUUGGAAAUCAUGACGAAUUUUGUGUUCAAGUUCUCAAUGAGUUUGCUGGGACUUUCGAUUUCCAGUACAUGAAUCUGGAUACUGCACUCCGACUCUUCUUGGAAACCUUCAGGUUGCCUGGAGAAUCCCAGAAAAUACAGAGAGUGCUUGAGGCGUUCUCUGAAAGAUACUAUAUGCAAUCUCCUGAGAUUCUGGCCAACAAGGAUGCUGCUCUUGUGUUAUCAUACUCUAUUAUCAUGCUUAACACUGAUCAGCACAACGUUCAAGUAAAGAAAAAGAUGACAGAAGAGGAUUUCAUUCGCAAUAAUAGGCAUAUCAAUGGAGGAAAUGAUCUACCUCGAGAAUUCUUGUCUGAACUCUUUCACUCCAUCUGCAACAAUGAGAUCAGGACUACUCCAGAACAAGGUGCAGGCUUUCCUGAAAUGACUCCCAGCCGUUGGAUUGAUUUGAUGCAUAAAUCAAAGAAAACUGCUCCAUAUAUUCUGGCUGAUUCAAGGGCUUAUCUUGACCAUGAUAUGUUUGCUAUCAUGUCUGGUCCAACCAUUGCUGCCAUAUCAGUCGUUUUUGACCAUGCAGAACAUGAAGACGUUUACCAGACAUGCAUCGAUGGAUUCUUGGCUAUAGCUAAAAUUUCUGCCUGUCAUCAUCUUGAAGAUGUGCUUGAUGAUCUGGUUGUCUCUCUCUGCAAAUUCACAACUCUGUUGAAUCCAUCAUCUGUUGAUGAACCCGUUCUUGCAUUUGGUGAUGACGCAAAAGCAAGGAUGGCUACUAUCACAAUUUUUACCAUUGCAAACAAAUAUGGAGAUUAUAUACGUACGGGUUGGAGGAACAUAUUGGACUGUAUCUUACGGCUACAUAAACUUGGACUUCUGCCAGCUCGUGUAGCCAGUGAUGCAGCUGAUGAAUCAGAACAUUCAUCUGAGCAAGGGCAAGGAAAGCCCCUCGCGAAUUCCCUAUCUUCAGCUCAUCUACAGUCAAUGGGAACUCCGAGGAGAUCUUCCGGAUUGAUGGGAAGAUUUAGUCAGCUUCUUUCACUUGAUACAGAAGAGCCAAGAUCACAGCCUACUGAGCAACAGCUUGCAGCUCAUCAACGAACACUUCAAACAAUUCAGAAAUGUCACAUUGACAGCAUAUUUACCGAAAGCAAGUUUCUACAAGCUGAAUCUUUGUUGCAGCUUGCGCGUGCUCUCAUUUGGGCUGCAGGUAGGCCACAGAAAGGAACCAGUUCUCCAGAGGAUGAGGAUACUGCGGUUUUCUGUCUGGAAUUGCUUAUUGCAAUCACUCUAAACAACAGAGACAGGAUCGUUCUCCUAUGGCAAGGCGUCUAUGAACAUAUAGCUACAAUUGCUCAGUCAACGGUGAUGCCCUGCAACUUAGUGGAUAAAGCUAUUUUUGGUCUACUUCGGAUCUGCCAGAGACUACUUCCUUAUAAAGAAAGCCUAGCUGAUGAGCUUUUGAGAUCUCUUCAGCUUGUGCUGAAACUGGAUGCACGUGUUGCAGAUGCCUAUUGUGAGCAAAUUGCAAUUGAAGUCAGCCGUCUUGUGAAAGCCAAUGCUAAUCACAUCAGGUCUCAGGCGGGUUGGAGAACAAUCACAUCCUUACUCUCCAUCACAGCGCGGCACCCAGAAGCUUCUGAAUCAGGAUUUGAUGCCGUAUCCUUUGUUAUGUCUGAAGGAACUCACCUGUAUCCAGCCAAUUAUGUACUCUGUGUUGAUGCUGCAAGACAGUUUGCUGAAUCCCGCGUGGGACAGUCCGAACGCUCUAUCCGUGCCCUUGAUCUAAUGGGAGAUUCAUUAGAAUUUUUGGCUAAAUGGGCUCUCUCAGCUAAGGAAAACAUGGGAGAAGAAGAUUUCGGGAAGAUGUCACAAGAUAUUGGGGAAAUGUGGUUAAGGCUUGUUCAAGGACUAAGAAAAGUGUGUUUAGACCAGAGGGAGGAUGUCCGAAACCACGCUUUACAGUCAUUACAGAAGUGUUUAGGCGGAGUAGACGGAAUCAACCUAGCUCAUAGCAUGUGGUCUCAAUGCUUUGACAAAGUAAUCUUCACGGUUUUGGAUGACUUACUUGAGAUAGCUGCUGGGUCACAGAAAGACUACCGAAACAUGGAAGGCACAUUGCUUCUCGCAAUCAAACUUCUCUCCAAAGUGUUUCUUCAGCAACUCCAAGAGCUAUCUCAGUUAUCAACCUUCUGCAAGCUAUGGCUCGGUGUUCUAACUCGAAUGGAGAAAUACAUGAAAGUGAAAGUAAGAGGCAAAAAAAGCGACAAGCUACAAGAAUCAGUACCAGAGCUUCUCAAAAACAUAUUGCUGGUGAUGAAGACGAAAGGCGUGCUAUUGCAAAGAAGUGCUCUUGGUGGAGAUAGCUUAUGGGAGCUAACAUGGCUUCAUGUGAAUAACAUUGCACCGUCUAUGCGACUGGAGCUAUUCCCUGAUCAAGAAUCCUCACAACUUGGUGAUGAUGAAACCGUAUCGAAUGGCUUAUCUUCUCCUGAAAACACAACUGGUUCGUGACCUUACAAGUGAGAUCAUUAGGUGAGUUUCUUUCGAAUAUCCAUAUAAGUACUGUGAAAGUGAAAGCUUCUUAUGUAACACCUCUCUACGUUUUUUUUUGUAAUAUAUAAGUCUUUCUAAUUCAGAGACUCGUAUUAAUUAAGCAAGUUUCUUAAUUACGACUUUGUUAAUCACGGACCUUUGGAACGAGGUAGAAGGUCUUGAACAUGUGUGGAACCCACCAAAGGAAAAAUAUCAGUAGAUUCAGGAGAGUUGUUAAAUUUUGCCUCCACGAGUUUUUUUCUUUUCUUCUUGUUGAGUCGUUUACGUCACGUCGAGAAUUUUCUCUUUUCCCGAGAAAAUUAAGAAAGGAUCGUUUGAUUUUCUAAGAAGGGAAAGAUAAACAGUGAAUUAGAAAGAGAAGGAAGUUUCAAUGGAAUCGCUAACAUCUAUUUCUCCUUCCAUAAUUCUUCCUCCGGCCACCACUACUACGAUCCCCGUUUCAACUUCACGAUCAGUGUUGAUUCGUCUUCCUUCACGCCGUUCUUCUUACCUUUUCGGCUUGUCCAGCUCCGGGAGACGGAUUUCGAUUUCUAGAAGAAGACACUUCGUUAGCUGUAAAUCGACCGGCGGCGGAGGAGGAGGAUCAGAUAAGCUUGGUGGCGAUGAAGAAGAGAGCGAGGAAGUUGAGAAGGCGCUUCACUUGGAUGGUACGAUCCCUGGGACUUCCGAUGAGUUUGUAAGGCAAGUUUCGUCGCGUGCUUACGACAUGCGUCGGAAACUUGAGCAGACGUUUGAUUCCACUAGCUAUGACGGUAUAAUCUCUAUCGCUCUCAAUUCCUGCGUUUACUUUGAUUUUGGUGAUGCAAAAUUAAUACUUUCGUUGAUGCAACUAACUUGAUCAGAGUUUCUUAAAGAUUGUCUAGGAAGUUUGGGAACUGUAGUAGUUUGAAAUUCCCUUAGUGCCUUGUUUUUGUUAACAGGAGUCAAAUCGUUUUGUUGAACAAUGUCAGAAUUUAGUCACUGUGUCACACACAACCGGUGAAGAAGCUCUCCAUUGAUAGAUGUAGUGUUAGUUAUGAUUCAAAAGUUUGUGUUCUGCAUACCAUUUCUUUAGUUCCCCAGGAGAAGAGUGCUUCAGCUGAACUAUGAUGAGGAAAAUUGUUCAUUUCUAGAUUCCACUCUUACAGUAAGAUUGCAAGCACGGUUUUAUCAUCUCAUCUUUCACAUAGUGCUGAUGCAUAGGAAUAUCAAAGCAAUAGGAACAUAAGUGUUUUAUUCAAUUUAAGCUUGUAUUCAUCUAAAGUUAAUAAAUUGAUGUUGUUCCUUUAGUGCUCUGUAUCUUUGACUGAGUGAUUUCGUUGAGAACCAUUUCUCUCACUGUGGCUUCUCACAAUCUUAGUGUUGGAGUCCAACCCAUGGAGAGGAGAUUCGAAGCCUGUAUAUGUAUUAACACAUAGAGAAAACCAGAUAUGUACCAUGAAAACAAGAACAAACCACAGGUUCCAACUCUAUUCCACUCAAGUUUUUUUUUAUAGUUUUAGUUUUCUUCUCCCUAUGACAUUAGCAAUCCUUAUAAACAGUGAAGUAGAAAAAGAGCUUGGACUGUUGUUCCCUAGUAGGAUCAGCAACCAGACAAAGCAGGCUAGACCCAAAACUAAAUUCGAUAUGCUCGUAGAAGACAUUCGAGAUGGAGUACUGGUAAGUAUUCUCACUGAAUCACUUUCAAGACCUUAUGAAACCCAGACAACGUGAUAUGCCUAGUUUUUAUCUCAAAGGUUUUCGAAGAUGUGAAUGAGGCUGUUAGAUACUGUGACCUAUUACAAGGGGGAGGGAAAGGGUGUGAAGGUGUCGCUGAGAUUGAGGCCUCCUCUGUAAGAUUAUGAGACAAAGAUAUCAUCUAAUUCUAGAACUUGUUGCCUUUAAACAUUUGAAAUGAUCUGCUUUUUUUUUUUUGAAUAGGUUUUUGAUCUUUGUCGGAAAACAAGGUCUCUGGCAGUGCUCUUCCGCCGUGGAAGAACACCACCUACACCUCAGACGCUGGAACGUAAUCUCGGAUCCCGGAAGCGUUCUCUUGAGGACUUGAGGGAUAAUAAAUAGCUUGUGAAACAAUGUAUUAAUUUUACUUGCAAUAAUUGAAAAUACUUUGUAUAGACUAAACAGUAAUUAACCGUGGGUGAUACUGUGUAUAUAUAUAAAAUGCAUUUUACUUGUGCUCCAUAACUUUUUUUUGUUCCUUAUAAUUCUCUUGAAGUUGCGCUCUUUUCUUUGAAGGCUUUAAAGCUAACACUAGUAGGUAAUGUAUUACUUGGUCAAUCAACAUGUGAGUAUUUAUAGUAUCUAUGAUUAGUUGACAAAAAAGACCAUUGUAUAUUGAACUUCUUAACAUGAAAAAUAGUGACUUUUUUUUGUUUAGAUAAAAAUAGAUAUGCUAAAGGCAUAUGCUAGUGUAUUAUUAAUAAAAAUCAUGUGAUAGAUGUGAUUCCAUGUUAUCCGGAUCGUUGACUUGACUUAGUACCCAUAACGUUUAUUAUAUAAUUCAUAUAGCAUUUUAUGAUUGUCAAAUUUAUAUUUAUACAUAUGAUAGACUAUUAUGUCAAAAAGACAGGUAAAGCCACUUUGUUUACUUAUUCUUUCUUAACUCAAAACUCCAAAGGGUAAAAUCAAGGUGACCAUUACUCUUUCAGUUUCAAAAGAUUGUAUUAUUGUAACAAGGUGACCAUUACUCUUAAAAUUUAUUCAAAAAUAACCAAAUCUAAACUAAAACGUAACUAAAAUUUGAUAUUAUUCAUGAAAUUCUAAGAACAAAUCCAACAUGAUCCCUUAAUAAUUUCCCUUUAGUAGUCUAGCCUUCUUAGUCGGUCACUAAUAAUAAAGAGUAAAGAGACCAAAAGAGAGAAGUCUUAGAUAACGGUGACAGAGUUAAAAAAGAACUCACUAAAAUAGACGGAGGAAAAAGUCAUCAAUUCAACUUGACGGCUAAGUUAACGGCGAUUAUCUUCGUUCACACAAGCAACACAAAAGAGAAAACAUGAAUCAUCUCUCUCUCCCUCUCUCCGGUUCCACAGUAAAGAAUUGAUUCCUCAAUCUCACGCGGAAGCAAAAUCCAAAUUCUAAAAUUCUAAGAAACCACUCUAAUCACAUCGCUCUAUCGAUCAAAAUCGAAACCCUUAUUCAAAAAUCUCUUAUUUUUUCCAUUUUUCUCUCAAUCAUCUGAAUCGGUUUUGAGAUGAGCUCCGAUUCACCGGCGGCUGGAGACGGUGGCGAACAAGCCGCUGCGGGAACAAGCGUGCCUUCACCUUCAUACGACAAACAAAAGGAGAAGGCACGUGUGAGUAGAACAUCUCUGAUACUAUGGCACGCGCACCAAAACGACGCAGCUGCAGUUCGGAAACUCUUGGAGGAAGAUCCGACUUUGGUUCACGCUAGAGACUAUGACAAACGAACGCCUCUCCACGUGGCGUCGCUUCAUGGAUGGAUCGAUGUUGUUAAAUGUCUGCUUGAGUUUGGUGCUGAUGUCAAUGCUCAGGAUAGGUGGAAGAACACGGUAAAGCCUCUUCCUUUUUAUUUUGAAUUUUGGGUUGCUUCUUCAAGUUUCUUAACUUUGUUAUGAUUCUGAUCUAAAACUUAUUGUUGUAUUUGUGGGUAUUUGCAGCCACUGGCUGAUGCAGAAGGAGCUAGGAAGCAGAAAAUGAUUGAACUGCUGAAAUCUCAUGGUGGUUUGUCUUAUGUGAGUUUUUGAAUUCCCUUUUCUGAUCUUUGUAUAGCUUUAGGUUAGACAUUGUUCCUUUUGUUUCAUUUGUUAGGGUAGGUGAUGAUUGCUAUUGAAUAUGAAAAUGUUUUUUGCAAAAUUUAGAAACUUUCGUAUCUCUCUGAAGUAGCUGCUUAAUGCAGUGUUGUUUGUUAUUCUUUAGUGUUUCUAUUAGUCAUUUUUGUUGUUGUGUGUGGAUAGUUGUUCAUAUGUAGCUGAGUAAAUUCACUAUGCAGGGUCAAAACGGAAGUCACUUUGAACCAAAGCCUGUGCCACCACCAAUUCCAAAGAAAUGUGACUGGGAAAUUGAACCUGCUGAGCUGGAUUUUUCAAAUGCUGCAAUGAUUGGAAAGGUAUGAUUUGUGCUUUUGCUUAUCCGUGUUUAGUUCAAUAUAAUGGAGUUUUGAGCAAAUGAGUUUCUUUUGGCUAAUUUGGGGUUGGUCACAUUCUUUUAGGGUUCAUUUGGUGAGAUUGUGAAAGCCUAUUGGAGAGGAACACCGGUAGCUGUGAAACGUAUUCUUCCUUCUCUUUCAGAUGAUAGACUGGUUAUGUAAGUUCUUACUUCUCUCUUAUAUCCCAAUUAUUAUUGUCGAAGAAGUUUCUAGCUUUUAGCUGAUACUUUGGUAUCGCUCUCACCUAAGAUUCUUGUGUUUCCAUACUUGUUGUGAUAUACAGUCAGGACUUCAGGCAUGAGGUUGAUUUGCUAGUUAAGCUUCGCCAUCCAAAUAUAGUCCAAUUCUUAGGAGCGGUAACCGAAAGAAAGCCCCUUAUGUUAAUCACUGAGUACUUACGCGGGGUAGGUUUUCACUAUCCGCUUUCUUUUUCUUAUGCAAUUUUUCUUCUUGGCUAAAUAAAUGAUUCAUCUUUUUGACAGGGAGAUCUUCAUCAAUACCUCAAGGAGAAGGGCGGUCUUACUCCAACAACUGCUGUCAACUUUGCUUUGGAUAUCGCGAGGUACUUGAAGUUUUAACAUUCGAGAUAUUAUGUGAGAAUUUGUUCAUCAUAUUUAGCCUGAGUGUUUUCGAAAAUUUGUUGUUACAGAGGAAUGACAUAUCUUCACAAUGAACCUAAUGUUAUCAUUCACCGAGAUCUUAAACCAAGGUAAUCAAAAUCGCUUCAUAUAUAUAGCUCCUUAGUUUCUUACUUCAAAUCCGCUGCUCAUAAAUCGCUUCUUGCAUUUUAUAUUUCAGGAACGUUCUUCUGGUUAAUUCUAGUGCAGACCACUUGAAAGUUGGAGACUUUGGACUUAGUAAGCUCAUAAAAGUUCAAAACUCUCAUGAUGUCUACAAAAUGACUGGAGAAACAGGAAGCUGUAAGUGUUGUUCUAUAGUAAAAUCGGAGGUCCUCUGCCUUCUUUUCCUUUCAUUUCUUUAACUUCACCUUCUUUGUUUCUCUUCUUCGUGCAACAAAACCAGAUCGUUAUAUGGCUCCUGAAGUAUUCAAGCAUAGAAGAUAUGACAAGAAAGUCGAUGUCUUCUCCUUUGCAAUGAUACUUUACGAGGUACUAAGAUCUUAACUAUAAAACUUCCUUUCUCUACUACAAAAAACAAAACCAAAGUUCAGAAAAUCUUAACCUUAAUUUCAUUACCACAUUGUACCCAGAUGCUUGAAGGAGAGCCACCAUUUGCGAACCAUGAGCCAUAUGAAGCAGCCAAACAUGUAUCUGAUGGACAUAGACCUACAUUCCGUUCCAAAGGAUGCACACCAGAUCUAAGAGAGUAAGAAAAAUACGAGGCCAUAUGCACCGGUAUUACUCUACCGGUUAUCUAACUAAUUUUCUCUUUUAUAGGUUAAUUGUGAAAUGCUGGGACGCAGACAUGAACCAGAGACCGUCGUUUCUGGACAUUCUCAAGAGACUUGAAAAGAUCAAGGAAACUCUACCAUCAGAUCACCAUUGGGGCUUAUUCACUUCAUAAUACACAAAAUCCAUUAUUUAAGCACAAAAACAACCAGAAACAAGAAAGUAUCAUUCUCUGUUUGCCUUAUUAAUCUCUGUUUCAUUUCUUUUGUAAAGAUUGUUUCUUUUUCAUCUUUUCAUUUGCUUUAAAAGAGUGUGAGAUAGAAAGCUUUUAUUGUUGUUACAUGGAUUGGAUUGAGUUUGCAGGUUAAUGAGAAGUUCAUAUCAUAUCAGACAGGAUAAAAUGUCUGUUUCCGAAAAAUUCAGUAACAAAAUGAAAAAUGAGUUCAGUAGUGUAUAUAAAGCUAUAGUCAUAGGGUUUUCAAUACAAUCUCUGCCCUCAGGAGAUGGUAAUGGUUUUCAGAUAAGCUUCUUUUUCUGGAAGAAAGUCUUCAAGUGCCAAAACUGAAGACCUGCGACCGAUAAACAAACUGCAAGCGACACGAAACUCAACCAUGCCAUCUUCGAAUUUGUCGCUAUGUUCAGAUUGUGCAUUUCUUCUUCCCUGUAAUAUACCAAAUGAAGAAGGGUUUUGAGUUUUGAUUCACUCUCAUCCUCUGAUCAAGUGACUUCAAGGGAAGACAGGUUUUGUUGUCAUUACCUGUCGCGGAGAUAGAACAUCUCAUCGUGGAUUCCAUUCACGGUUUCAAAUAACUUCUUAACCUCAAACUCCAUCGUCUGGCCAAUAAAUAAAACAAGAUCCAACCAUAACAAGGUUAACAAAACAUUCCUUCAAAAACUCUGCAAUCUCUUUAAGAGGCUAUGUUACAUUUCAAGCUAGUCUUGCUCUGUAGUAUGUUAAAGCCUAGUCCUAUCUACCACAUUUCAAGAUAGUAAUUUUCUGCGUCUGUUAAAGCCUAGUCCUAUCCACCUUCAUUUAGCAGGGAAAGAACUCCUGAAUGAGCUGAAGAAAUCGAUGGGGUUCAAAGGUGAAACUAAUGAAGCUAUUUUCUCAUAUGCAAGACUGCAGACACAGGUCAGUAACACACGAGCCCUGUCAGCUUAAUUCAUGGCCUUGUUCUAACCAAACCAAUGCACCAACAUAACCUAUAAACCAAGACUACAUAGCAUUUCUCACUUCAGAUAUAACUUUCCACUUUCCAGCACUAUGUCUUGGUGUAACUUAGGCAGCUAUCAAAUUCUCACACAUCCGGCGCAAUGCUCUAUUGUUCAUGUCAUUAGAAGCAUCAAAAUCUAUUUCCUCUAAAGAGAUUAGUUUGACUAAGUUAAGACUUCAAGAGUAAAGAAAAAGCGAAAAACUUAC